RNAcentral lists this small nuclear RNA (327 nucleotides) under Meriones unguiculatus (Mongolian gerbil). Its description in RNAcentral is "7SK RNA (ENSMUGG00000014934.1)". It matches the Rfam family "7SK RNA". Rfam says of the family: 7SK was discovered as an abundant small nuclear RNA in the mid-70s but a possible function has only recently been suggested. Two independent studies have found that 7SK RNA binds the CDK9/cyclin T complex (known as elongation factor P-TEFb). P-TEFb activates transcription by phosphorylating the C-terminal domain of RNA polymerase II. Lineage: Eukaryota; Metazoa; Chordata; Mammalia; Rodentia; Muridae. The record is from RNAcentral.
GGAUGUGAGAGCCAUCUGGCUGAGACAUCUCUCAUCCCAUUGGCUGCCAGGGCUGAUUCUGGUGAUCUGGACUGCUAGGAAGGUGUCCCCUUCCUCCCUCCCACUUCAUGUGCCUCCCUUCCGAGAGUCUACAUGCUCGGUAGAAGAGGGCGGCCUUCCCCAAAUAGAGGAGGGACCGGUCUUGGGUCAAGGGAGUACUGGUAGCCACGCCCCACCGCUAAACACUCCAAAUAAGCUCUCAAAUAUCAAAACUGAGCAGCGACUCUUCUGAGCUGGGGGCUGAAGCCAGGAUCUUGCGCUGGCCAGGCAAGUGCUGAGCCAGUCCCC